AGAGUUUGAUCCUGGCUCAGGAUAAACGCUGGCGGCGUGCCUAACACAUGCAAGUCGAACGCUCUGAGCAAUCAGAGAGUGGCGGACGGGUGAGUAACACGUGGGUCAUCUACCUUGAGGUGAGGGAUACCGGGGAGAAAUCUUCGACAAGCCCGCAUAGCUUUCGCAAGAAAGAAAGUCGCAAGACGCCUCGAGAUGAG
Molecule: ribosomal RNA, 200 nt
Filed under: uncultured bacterium
Lineage: Bacteria
Description: partial 16S ribosomal RNA
Rfam family: Bacterial small subunit ribosomal RNA
Source: RNAcentral